Molecule: unclassified non-coding RNA, 230 nt
Filed under: uncultured fungus
Lineage: Eukaryota; Fungi
Description: sequence contains ITS1, 5.8S rRNA gene
Rfam family: 5.8S ribosomal RNA (bases 182-230)
Source: RNAcentral
UCUCCGUAGGUGAACCUGCGGAGGGAUCAUUACCGAGUGAGGGUCCUUGUGGCCCGACCUCCAACCCCCUGUCUUCCGACUCUGUUGCCUCGGGGGCGACCCGGCCCUCUGGGCGUCGGGGCCCCCGGGGGCGAUGGAAACUCCUGUCUGCCUGCCGUCGGAGUGACUUGCAAAUCAGCAAAACUUUCAACAACGGAUCUCUUGGUUCUGGCAUCGAUGAAGAACGCAGC